Molecule: ribosomal RNA, 2902 nt
Filed under: Escherichia coli B94
Lineage: Bacteria; Pseudomonadati; Pseudomonadota; Gammaproteobacteria; Enterobacterales; Enterobacteriaceae
Description: bacterial LSU rRNA
Rfam family: Bacterial large subunit ribosomal RNA
Source: RNAcentral
UUAAGCGACUAAGCGUACACGGUGGAUGCCCUGGCAGUCAGAGGCGAUGAAGGACGUGCUAAUCUGCGAUAAGCGUCGGUAAGGUGAUAUGAACCGUUAUAACCGGCGAUUUCCGAAUGGGGAAACCCAGUGUGUUUCGUCACACUAUCAUUAACUGAAUCCAUAGGUUAAUGAGGCGAACCGGGGGAACUGAAACAUCUAAGUACCCCGAGGAAAAGAAAUCAACCGAGAUUCCCCCAGUAGCGGCGAGCGAACGGGGAGGAGCCCAGAGCCUGAAUCAGUGUGUGUGUUAGUGGAAGCGUCUGGAAAGGCGCGCGAUACAGGGUGACAGCCCCGUACACAAAAAUGCACAUGCUGUGAGCUCGAUGAGUAGGGCGGGACACGUGGUAUCCUGUCUGAAUAUGGGGGGACCAUCCUCCAAGGCUAAAUACUCCUGACUGACCGAUAGUGAACCAGUACCGUGAGGGAAAGGCGAAAAGAACCCCGGCGAGGGGAGUGAAAAAGAACCUGAAACCGUGUACGUACAAGCAGUGGGAGCACAGAGCAAUCUGUGUGACUGCGUACCUUUUGUAUAAUGGGUCAGCGACUUAUAUUCUGUAGCAAGGUUAACCGAAUAGGGGAGCCGAAGGGAAACCGAGUCUUAACCGGGCGUUAAGUUGCAGGGUAUAGACCCGAAACCCGGUGAUCUAGCCAUGGGCAGGUUGAAGGUUGGGUAACACUAACUGGAGGACCGAACCGACUAAUGUUGAAAAAUUAGCGGAUGACUUGUGGCUGGGGGUGAAAGGCCAAUCAAACCGGGAGAUAGCUGGUUCUCCCCGAAAGCUAUUUAGGUAGCGCCUCGUGAAUUCAUCUCCGGGGGUAGAGCACUGUUUCGGCAAGGGGGUCAUCCCGACUUACCAACCCGAUGCAAACUGCGAAUACCGGAGAAUGUUAUCACGGGAGACACACGGCGGGUGCUAACGUCCGUCGUGAAGAGGGAAACAACCCAGACCGCCAGCUAAGGUCCCAAAGUCAUGGUUAAGUGGGAAACGAUGUGGGAAGGCCCAGACAGCCAGGAUGUUGGCUUAGAAGCAGCCAUCAUUUAAAGAAAGCGUAAUAGCUCACUGGUCGAGUCGGCCUGCGCGGAAGAUGUAACGGGGCUAAACCAUGCACCGAAGCUGCGGCAGCGACACUGUGUGUUGUUGGGUAGGGGAGCGUUCUGUAAGCCUGUGAAGGUGUGCUGUGAGGCAUGCUGGAGGUAUCAGAAGUGCGAAUGCUGACAUAAGUAACGAUAAAGCGGGUGAAAAGCCCGCUCGCCGGAAGACCAAGGGUUCCUGUCCAACGUUAAUCGGGGCAGGGUGAGUCGACCCCUAAGGCGAGGCCGAAAGGCGUAGUCGAUGGGAAACAGGUUAAUAUUCCUGUACUUGGUGUUACUGCGAAGGGGGACGGAGAAGGCUAUGUUGGCCGGGCGACGGUUGUCCCGGUUUAAGCGUGUAGGCUGGUUUUCCAGGCAAAUCCGGAAAAUCAAGGCUGAGGCGUGAUGACGAGGCACUACGGUGCUGAAGCAACAAAUGCCCUUCUUCCAGGAAAAGCCUCUAAGCAUCAGGUAACAUCAAAUCGUACCCCAAACCGACACAGGUGGUCAGGUAGAGAAUACCAAGGCGCUUGAGAGAACUCGGGUGAAGGAACUAGGCAAAAUGGUGCCGUAACUUCGGGAGAAGGCACGCUGAUAUGUAGGUGAAGUCCCUCGCGGAUGGAGCUGAAAUCAGUCGAAGAUACCAGCUGGCUGCAACUGUUUAUUAAAAACACAGCACUGUGCAAACACGAAAGUGGACGUAUACGGUGUGACGCCUGCCCGGUGCCGGAAGGUUAAUUGAUGGGGUCAGCGCAAGCGAAGCUCUUGAUCGAAGCCCCGGUAAACGGCGGCCGUAACUAUAACGGUCCUAAGGUAGCGAAAUUCCUUGUCGGGUAAGUUCCGACCUGCACGAAUGGCGUAAUGAUGGCCAGGCUGUCUCCACCCGAGACUCAGUGAAAUUGAACUCGCUGUGAAGAUGCAGUGUACCCGCGGCAAGACGGAAAGACCCCGUGAACCUUUACUAUAGCUUGACACUGAACAUUGAGCCUUGAUGUGUAGGAUAGGUGGGAGGCUUUGAAGUGUGGACGCCAGUCUGCAUGGAGCCGACCUUGAAAUACCACCCUUUAAUGUUUGAUGUUCUAACGUGGACCCGUGAUCCGGGUUGCGGACAGUGUCUGGUGGGUAGUUUGACUGGGGCGGUCUCCUCCUAAAGAGUAACGGAGGAGCACGAAGGUUGGCUAAUCCUGGUCGGACAUCAGGAGGUUAGUGCAAUGGCAUAAGCCAGCUUGACUGCGAGCGUGACGGCGCGAGCAGGUGCGAAAGCAGGUCAUAGUGAUCCGGUGGUUCUGAAUGGAAGGGCCAUCGCUCAACGGAUAAAAGGUACUCCGGGGAUAACAGGCUGAUACCGCCCAAGAGUUCAUAUCGACGGCGGUGUUUGGCACCUCGAUGUCGGCUCAUCACAUCCUGGGGCUGAAGUAGGUCCCAAGGGUAUGGCUGUUCGCCAUUUAAAGUGGUACGCGAGCUGGGUUUAGAACGUCGUGAGACAGUUCGGUCCCUAUCUGCCGUGGGCGCUGGAGAACUGAGGGGGGCUGCUCCUAGUACGAGAGGACCGGAGUGGACGCAUCACUGGUGUUCGGGUUGUCAUGCCAAUGGCACUGCCCGGUAGCUAAAUGCGGAAGAGAUAAGUGCUGAAAGCAUCUAAGCACGAAACUUGCCCCGAGAUGAGUUCUCCCUGACCCUUUAAGGGUCCUGAAGGAACGUUGAAGACGACGACGUUGAUAGGCCGGGUGUGUAAGCGCAGCGAUGCGUUGAGCUAACCGGUACUAAUGAACCGUGAGGCUUAACCUU